This is a non-coding RNA of Acanthosepion pharaonis, 93 nucleotides long. The record is from the annotation of a GenBank genome assembly. Lineage: Eukaryota; Metazoa; Mollusca; Cephalopoda; Sepiida; Sepiidae.
AGUCGAGUUUCCAUACGAUCAUCGAAGUUAAGCAAUAUCGAGCCUGGUCAGUAUGUAGAUGGGUGACCGCUAGGGAAUACUAGGUGCUGUAAG